Molecule: ribosomal RNA, 265 nt
Filed under: uncultured bacterium
Lineage: Bacteria
Description: partial 16S ribosomal RNA
Rfam family: Bacterial small subunit ribosomal RNA
Source: RNAcentral
UACGUAGGGUGCGAGCGUUGUCCGGAAUUAUUGGGCGUAAAGGGCUCGUAGGCGGUUUGUCGCGUCGGGAGAUGAAACACCGGGCUUAACUCGGUGCUUGCUUUUCGAUACGGGGCAGACUAGAAGGCAUGGCAGGGGGAGGACGGAAUUCCUGGAUUGUAGGCGGUGGAAAUGAACGCAGAUAUCAGGAGGAACACCGGUGGCGAAGGCGGUCUCUGGGCAUGUCCUGACGCUGAGGAAGCGAAAGGUGUGGGGAGCGAACAGG